AGCCGAGCGGUAGAGAUCUUUCGGGAUCUUGAGAGCGGCGUACGGGUGCGGAACACGUGUGCAACCUGCCUUUAUCUGGGGGAUAGCCUUUCGAAAGGAAGAUUAAUACCCCAUAAUAUACUGAAUGGCAUCAUUCGGUAUUGAAAACUCCGGUGGAUAGAGAUGGGCACGCGCAAGAUUAGAUAGUUGGUGAGGUAACGGCUCACCAAGUCUACGAUCUUUAGGGGGCCUGAGAGGGUGAUCCCCCACACUGGUACUGAGACACGGACCAGACUCCUACGGGAGGCAGCAGUGAGGAAUAUUGGACAAUGGGUGAGAGCCUGAUCCAGCCAUCCCGCGUGAAGGACGACGGCCCUAUGGGUUGUAAACUUCUUUUGUAUAGGGAUAAACCUACCCUCGUGAGGGUAGCUGAAGGUACUAUACGAAUAAGCACCGGCUAACUCCGUGCCAGCAGCCGCGGUAAUACGGAGGGUGCAAGCGUUAUCCGGAUUUAUUGGGUUUAAAGGGUCCGUAGGCGGAUCUGUAAGUCAGUGGUGAAAUCUCACAGCUUAACUGUGAAACUGCCAUUGAUACUGCAGGUCUUGAGUGUUGUUGAAGUAGCUGGAAUAAGUAGUGUAGCGGUGAAAUGCAUAGAUAUUACUUAGAACACCAAUUGCGAAGGCAGGUUACUAAGCAACAACUGACGCUGAUGGACGAAAGCGUGGGGAGCGAACAGGAUUAGAUACCCUGGUAGUCCACGCCGUAACGAUGCUAACUCGUUUUUGGAAUGUAAGUUUCAGAGACUAAGCGAAAGUGAUAAGUUAGCCACCUGGGGAGUACGAACGCAAGUUUGAAACUCAAAGGAAUUGACGGGGGCCCGCACAAGCGGUGGAUUAUGUGGUUUAAUUCGAUGAUACGCGAGGAACCUUACCAAGGCUUAAAUGGGAAAUGACAGGUUUAGAAAUAGACUUUUCUUCGGACAUUUUUCAAGGUGCUGCAUGGUUGUCGUCAGCUCGUGCCGUGAGGUGUUAGGUUAAGUCCUGCAACGAGCGCAACCCCUGUCACUAGUUGCCAUCAUUAAGUUGGGGACUCUAGUGAGACUGCCUACGCAAGUAGAGAGGAAGGUGGGGAUGACGUCAAAUCAUCACGGCCCUUACGCCUUGGGCCACACACGUAAUACAAUGGCCGGUACAGAGGGCAGCUACACUGCGAAGUGAUGCAAAUCUCGAAAGCCGGUCUCAGUUCGGAUUGGAGUCUGCAACUCGACUCUAUGAAGCUGGAAUCGCUAGUAAUCGCGCAUCAGCCAUGGCGCGGUGAAUACGUUCCCGGGCCUUGUACACACCGCCCGUCAAGCCAUGGAAGUCUGGGGUA
This 1350-nucleotide ribosomal RNA is filed under the name bacterium W13(2013). RNAcentral describes it as "bacterial SSU rRNA". It matches the Rfam family "Bacterial small subunit ribosomal RNA", at positions 60 to 1419 of the family's 1533-position model. The record is from RNAcentral.